GAAAGGUUGACCUCGGAUCAGGUAGGAAUACCCGCUGAACUUAAGCAUAUCAAUAAGCGGAGGAAAAGAAACCAACAGGGAUUGCCCCAGUAACGGCGAGUGAAGCGGCAACAGCUCAAAUUUGAAAUCUGGCCCCCAGGGCCCGAGUUGUAAUUUGGAGAGGAUGCUUUUGGCGAGGCGCCGCCCGAGUUCCCUGGAACGGGACGCCGCAGAGGGUGAGAGCCCCGUCUGGCUGGCCGCCGAGCCUCUGUAAAGCUCCUUCGACGAGUCGAGUAGUUUGGGAAUGCUGCUCAAAAUGGGAGGUAUAUGUCUUCUAAAGCUAAAUAUAGGCCAGAGACCGAUAGCGCACAAGUAGAGUGAUCGAAAGAUGAAAAGCACUUUGAAAAGAGGGUUAAACAGUACGUGAAAUUGUUGAAAGGGAAGCGCUCGUGACCAGACUUGGGCCUGGCGGAUCAUCCGGCGUUCUCGCCGGUGCACUUCGCCCGGCCCAGGCCAGCAUCAGUUCGCCCCGGGGGACAAAGGCGGCGGGAAUGUGGCUCCCUCGGGAGUGUUAUAGCCCGCCGCGCAAUGCCCUGGGGCGGACUGAGGUUCGCGCGUCCGCAAGGAUGCUGGCGUAAUGGUCACCAGCGACCCGUCUUGAAACACGGACCAAGGAGUCGUCCUCGUAUGCGAGUGUUCGGGUGUCAAACCCCUACGCGUAAUGAAAGUGAACGCAGGUGAGAGCUUCGGCGCAUCAUCGACCGAUCCUGAUGUUCUCGGAUGGAUUUGAGUAAGAGCAUACGGGGCCGGACCCGAAAGAAGGUGAACUAUGCCUGUAUAGGGUGAAGCCAGAGGAAACUCUGGUGGAGGCUCGCAGCGGUUCUGACGUGCAAAUCGAUCGUCAAAUAUGGGCAUGGGGGCGAAAGACUAAUCGAACCUUCUAGUAGCUGGUUUCCGCCGAAGU
This 943-nucleotide ribosomal RNA is filed under the name Pseudohansfordia irregularis. RNAcentral's name for it is "eukaryotic LSU rRNA". It matches the Rfam family "Eukaryotic large subunit ribosomal RNA", at positions 1 to 967 of the family's 3401-position model. The record is from RNAcentral. Lineage: Eukaryota; Fungi; Ascomycota.